AGGAACCAUUUAGUGGAUGUGAACAGAAAAGCUUCAGUGGAUCAGAGUGAUGGAAUGUCCAUGUUUCCAGCUGCUCUGACCCUCCUCCUCCUUUCAGGUUGAAGCCUGCUGGAGUCCGAUGGGUGACACUGAGACGACGUAAGUAUUUCUGUGAACUCACCCUGGAUCCAAACACAGCGUUCAGGAAACUCAAACUGUCUGAAUACAACGAGAAGGUGGAACAUGUGAAUGAGGUUCAGUCAUAUCCUGAUGAUCAUCAGGACAGAUUUGACCACUAUCCUCAGGUGAUGUGUUCAACUGGUCUGACUGGUCGCUGUUACUGGGAGGUCCAGUGGAGUGGAGAUGUUAAUAUAUCAGUGACUUACAGAGGAAUCAGUAGGAAAGGAGACAGUGAUUACUGUGGGUUUGGAUUAAAUGAUCAGUCCUGGAGUCUGAGCUGUUCUGGAGGUCAUUACACUGUCUGGCAUGAUAAAAAAUACACAGAGCUCCCUCAGUCCUCCUCCUCUUCCUCCUCCUCUGGUACAGUAUCAGUGUAUGUGGACUGUCCUGCUGGAUCUGUGUCCUUCUAUGAAGUCUCCUCUGAUGAACUGAUCCACCUCUACACCUUCAACACCACAUUCACUGAACCACUGUUUGCUGGAUUUAGACUCAGGUCUGGAUCCUCAGUGUGUUUGUGUGAUGUGUAGUUUUGUUGUGUUUGUGGACAUGUGGUUGUGUAGAUUUUAACCCAAAUAUCUGGACUUUCUACUGCUCCCAUUUCAUAAACAGCCUUUAGUUUGAAUGCGUGGGAGGUGAAUUAUCUUUGACUUUUUAAUUGACAUCAUUGUGCGUCUUCACAACAUCCAGAUCUCAACCUAAAUGGAUGAAACAAUCAGACGUGGAAAAAACAACCCCUUGAAGAAUCCAUGAAUGUCACACAACACAAACGCAACAAGAUGAAAACCACAGAAAACACAAUCACUGUAGUGUCUGAUUUUGGGUGCGUCCAACCAGUAGGAGACCUCGGGGUCGACCCAGGACAUACUGGAGGGAUUAUAGCUCUCAGCUGGCCUGGGAACACCUUGGGACUCCCCUGGAAGAGCUGGUGGAAGUGGCUGGGGAGAGGGCUGUGUGGGCUUCUCUGCUGAGGCUGCUGCCCCCGCGACUCGGACCCAGAUAAGAGGAAGAGAGCGAGUACGAGUAUUAAUUAUUGAGUCAUGAUCCACUCAAUGACAGUCAUCUGCAGCAUAGAAUGACUGAACGUCUCUGGCAACACAUUUUGGGCAAUUUGUCAAAACAGAGUUACCAUCGCGCACGUGCAAAUGGGUGGUUGAUCCAGUAGCGACAGGAAGUAGAACCAACCGAUAAAGAUAGUAAAUAGUGAAUGGACUGCACUUAUACAGCACAUUUUCUACACCUUCACGGUGUCCAAAGUGCUUUACAAAGCCUUACAUUCACCUAUUUAUUCACACACUUAAACAACAGUGGGCAGCUGCUGCCAUGCACAGCACUGCUAGGCCCUACACGGAGUAAUUUAGGGUUCAGUGUCUUGCCCAAGGACACUUUGACAUGUGGACAGUCAGAGCCAGGAUUUGAACCGCCAAGCACUGGAGUUUUAAUGUCGACAGGCCUUUUAUGAAAACUUUUUAUUCUUGUUUUAUUGAGUCUGUUUUAACCUUUUCUUUUAUCUGCUGGUUUGGUUUAGUCAACAUCACAAAUCAAAACGGACUCCAGGGUAUUGUAAAGGUGUGUAACAGAAUCACAGGAGUGACCUCGAAAGAUCUUACACACCUGCAAAAAGUCAGAACUCUGAAAAAGGCCUGAUUGGUCCUGAAUGACUCCGCCCACCUUCUAUGAUCGGAGUUCACGCUGCUACAGUCUGGUCGCAGUUAUGCCUUUAUUAUGUAGCAGGACCAACAGGUAAAAGAACUCUUUUAUUCCUGCUGCUGUCAGGCUUCUGAACAGUGGAUAGUAUGUGAUUUGUGUUUUUUGUCAUUUGUUUGUGUCAUUUGUUUUGCUGCGUGUACAAUAAUUUGCCCCUAGGGGAUAAUAAAGUACCUUGAAUCUUGA
Molecule: long non-coding RNA, 2049 nt
Organism: Sphaeramia orbicularis (orbiculate cardinalfish)
Lineage: Eukaryota; Metazoa; Chordata; Actinopteri; Kurtiformes; Apogonidae
Exons: 2
Source: RefSeq, a predicted model, not a curated record